RNAcentral lists this transfer RNA (75 nucleotides) under Shigella sonnei. Its description in RNAcentral is "tRNA-Lys(ttt)". It matches the Rfam family "tRNA". From Rfam's summary of the family: Transfer RNA (tRNA) molecules are approximately 80 nucleotides in length. Their secondary structure includes four short double-helical elements and three loops (D, anti-codon, and T loops). Lineage: Bacteria; Pseudomonadati; Pseudomonadota; Gammaproteobacteria; Enterobacterales; Enterobacteriaceae. The record is from RNAcentral.
GGGUCGUUAGCUCAGUUGGUAGAGCAGUUGACUUUUAAUCAAUUGGUCUAGGUUCGAAUCCUGCACGACCCACCA